This 4915-nucleotide long non-coding RNA is filed under the name Sus scrofa (pig). Its description in RNAcentral is "lncRNA (ENSSSCG00050066599.1)". Lineage: Eukaryota; Metazoa; Chordata; Mammalia; Artiodactyla; Suidae. The record is from RNAcentral.
UUUUUUUUUUCUUUUUUUGGCCAUAUGGAACUUCCCAGGCAAGGGAUUUAAUCUGAGCUGCACCUGCAACCUAUGCCACAGCUGCAGCAAUGCCAGAUCCUUAACCUGAUGCACCACAGUGGGAAUUCUUCAAAACCACAUGAUUAUUUCAACUGGGGUAGAAGAGGCAUUUUACAAAAUCCACCAUCAUUCUAUGAUAAAAACUCCUAGAAAAGUAGGAAUAAAGAGACUAUUUCUCAACGUGAUAAAGGGUAUUUAUGAAAAACCCACAGCUAAUAUCAUACUCAAAGAGAGAAAGCUUUCCCCUUAAAAUCAGGAACAUGACAAGGAUGCCUGCUUUUAUUGCUGCCGUUAAACACUGUACUUUAGGUUCUAGCCAGAGCAAAUACUGCUGACCUUUGAGUAAUGAGGGGUUAGGGACACCAGCCCUCUGAGCAGUCAGAAACCCACACACAACUUUACAGCUGGCCCCUCGUAUCCGACCUUCUGAAUCUGCUUGUUGCCAUUGUAUCUCUUUUUUGUGUUUUUCCCCUCUUGCCCUGGUGCUACAAGCCAGGUCUCCCUUUGGCACUGGGCCUUCGUUUCUGUCUCCCCUCUACUCCAGCUCAGGUGGAACAACUCCUUGCCCCCACCCUGGCUCCCUUGAGAUUGUAGAAUUUGGAUUCUGAGGUUUCCAGAGCCAUCCUCCUCCUUAGAGCAUCUACUUAACCCGAUGAGUUGGCAAUGCAACAGGUGCUCACAUGCAGGUCUUGUCCCAGAGUCAUAGGAUGCCCGCCCAAUAUUUGAGACAAAGGCUUGUCAGUUUGGCUGGGUAAAGGGAUUCUGGUGGGAGCAGGGACCUGGUUGACCUUCCGCAGAGGGGGAGUCAGAGGAAACAGAUCAGUUUGAUGAGUUCCUUCUCAGGGUCAGGAGCCGAACCUGUAUGAUAUCCCAGAGCUAAAACCUCUGAUUCUGAUGAUUCCAGUCCAAAGCAGAUUUGCAGUGUAAAUUCAUUGAACUUAAAAACAUUCAGAGGCAAAAGAUCACAUGUUACAUAAUGUACAGAAAACAUCCAGACUAGCCAAAUCUAUGGAGACAAAAAAAUCGACUAGUGGUGGUUUAGGGCUGGGUGGGAGGGAGAGAAGGGUACAGAGUUUCUUUCUGAGAUGACAACAGUGUUCUAAAAUGGAUUAUAAUGAUGGCCACCCAUAUCCGUGAAUAUACGAAAAGCCACUGAAUGGCACACUUUAAAUGGAUGAACUAUAUACAUGUGUGUUAUAUCUCGAAAAAGCUUUUUUUUUUUUUUUUCUGAAAAAACUCUUUAAAAAAAUAAAUCUUGGAGUUCCCGUCGUGGCGAAGCAGAAACGAAUCUGACUAGGAACUAUGAGGUAGCGGGUUCAAUCCCCAGCCUUGCUCAGUGGGUUAAGGAUCUGGCGUUGCCAUGAGCUGUGGUGUAGGUGGCAGACGCAGCUCAGAUCUGGCGUUGCUGUGGCGGGGGCGUAGGCUGGCAGCUGUAGCUCCGAUUAGACCCCUAGCCUGGGGAACCUCCAUAUGCCAUGGGUGUGGCCCUAAAAAGCAAUAAAUAAAUAAAUAAAUAAACCUUAAGAUGCUCUUUGAUAUGAAAUAAUCAAUCAGGACCUACUAUAUAGCACAGAGAACUAUACUCAAUAUCUUGUAAUAACCUACGUGAGAAAAUAAACUGAAAAAUAAUCGCCAUGCUGUACACCUGAAAGGAACACAACAUUGUAAUUCCGGACUGUACCUCAAUAAAAAAAUUGGUAUGGAAAGAUUGGAUUGAUGUGAAGGAAUGUAUGUGAGUUUAUAUAGAGAAUAACGAACUCUAGUUUGCAUUUCUGUCCAAAAAAAAAAAAAAAAAAAAGAAAGAAAGAGAGAAAGAAAAACGUGCUCUCUUUGCUGAAUCCAAUAGGAGAAUGUAGACUGUUUUCAGCAACGUGAACAUCAGCAUUCCAUAAAAUGUCCCUGUCACUCGGGCAGUUGCUGUGAGGGGCCCUGGAGGAAUCCUGCAGAGGGACGGCAUUGGUAUGGAGCUCAGUCUCCUUGGAAAGAACAGGAAGGGGCUCUGGGUUGACAAACAGCAGAGAAAAAAACCAGCUCCAGUUCAUGCUGACCACAGUCAGAGACGUGAUCAAGGGUGUUCCACGGGCUUCCAUUACAGGAGUGUGUCUGUGUGUGCUCACUUCCCCAACCGUGUCUGUAUUCAGGAGAACAGGUCUCUUGAAAUCUGAAGUUUCUUGGAUGAAAAAUCUGCAGGGUUCAUACAAGGCCAGGCAUUGCUUAUGCAGUAUCUCAAGACCGGAGAGUGAUCUGCAUUGACCCUGCAUCAAAUUCAGCUGCUUUGACUCAGCAAGCCAUAGGUAAAAACAAGGAAAUCAGAAAAAAUUGGGAUGUUAUCCAUAUCUCUGAGAAAUCAGCAGUCUGAGGAGUAAGACCUAAGAGACGCCUCGCUAUGGAAAGAAGAAGAUACCAAAUGAUCCCCAAGACUAAUUUGUGGUAUCUUUAAAAUGCACUGAAAUUUGUCUAUUGGAAAAAAAAAAAAGGGAACUCUCACAUGUGUGCUCUGAUCAGCUGAGUGUCCUUGUGACGAGCUUAUGAUGCUCAAGCUUUUGUGUCCCUCACGUCUUUGCAAGGACAUUUUGCAUUGAUGCACCCCGCCACCAGGGGGAGCUUAUUCUAUUAUUCUCUGUCCGGGACAUCAGAAACUGUCAAGAAUCCCUUAGCAGAGUGCCUGCUCCUGGAGGCUGCUGUUACUAUUGCCAUCACGUGGUAGGAACCCAGUGGGCACCCCCCACACACACAGUCUCCCCUACCGGGUCGCCAAGUGAUCCUCUGUAUGCUCUCCCCUCGGACUGAGGUCCCCUAUCACUGUGGUUAUAAAAGGGGUCACCAUGUGGCUCAGGCCAAGCAGCCAGGCCUUCAGUUCAGGGCCCUGACUAUAAAUGUGGUGACAGCUGCUAUCCCAGGAGGAAGUUCUGUCCCAGUGAGGAAACAAAAGAGCUGACAUCUGAGCCAAGCUUAGAAAAAUAACCCAGGAACUAUGCGGCCUCCAAGACAAGCCUGGGAAGGUUGUUUCUGGGGCCAAGGAGCAAGGAGACCAGUAGAAAGGCACUGUGGGGUGGAGGAGAUGCAGAGAAAAGUCGCUCAGGACAGAUUUACAGCCAAACAGCAUCGUGACCCAUGCUUCAAAGAGAAAAGACCCAGAAAGUUGCAGGUGAGAUAAAAAUAAGGGAGACCUCUUUGUGAACCAUACAUAAGCAGAGGUGGUGGAAGAGGAGACACGUAGGCUGGGCAGCUUCCGAGGGGUGGCUGGGAGGAAGAACGCCCUGUGUACAGACCCCGAGUGGAAAGUAGCAUAAUGUCUUUUCUUUUCUUUUUUUGUCUUUUUGUCUUUUCUAGGGCUGCACCUGCGCGGCAUAUGGAGGUUCCCAGGCUAGGGGUCCAACCGGAGCUGUAGCCGCUGGCCUACACCAGAGCCACAGCAACUGGGGGUCCGAGCUGUGUCUGCAACCUACACCACAGCUCACAGCAACACCGGAUCCUUAACCCACUGAGCGAGGCCAGGGAUCGAACCUGCAACCUCCUGGUUCCUAGUCGGAGUCAUUAACCACUGAGCCAUGACGGGAACUCCUGUAAUGUCUUUUCUAUCAAAGGAAGUCUUUUGGUUAUUCCAUUUUGUUCCGGUUUUGGCUGAAACGCCUUCCUGCGACCCCACCUCCUCUUUCCCUCUUCUCCCAGUAACAGUUCGUUUCAAAUUAGCCCACUGAGAAGAAUGUGCACCCUGACCUGACCCAUGGGAAGGGGACAGGGACAUCACCUGCGUUAGGAAUAAACUGGGGAGGGUCCUUGGUUCAGCGCGCGUGCUUUUUGAGUGCCCGUGUCCUUCUGCAGAAGUAAAGAGCCUUGUCGAGAUCUCCCCGUGUUCAUGUGUCUCAUUUGCGACACUGACCAUCCGAGCCAUGUCCCCAACACCGGGCAGAAUGCUCGGCCACAGCAAAGCGCCACGCACCGACCCCCUGGUCCAGCAGCUCCAUCCCUAGGACCCACCCGGGGAAAACCUCACCUGUGAGCACAAGGUCAGAAGGCCUGUGAGCAAUGUGCUGAUGGGAAAGUGAAAAAUGGGAACAACCUCAACGCUCAACAGGAAAAGGGCGAAAUCACCAGGGGUGCCUCUACACCACAGGACACGCUCCAGCCAUGCGAGUGGAUGGACCAGGGUGGCGUGUGUCUGCAUGGCCAGAUCUGGCCAAGGCGCGUGCCUGCUGUGUGUGUAGGGGGGGAGUCGGAUCCUCUCCCAGGAAGGGCACUGAUGGCAGGGCUUUGUUAUUCAGCCAGCCACAGACGUUCUGGAAAGGAAAUGGAUGCAGUCACCUCAGAUCGUGAGAAGUGUCAGGGACAAAUCAGAGAGAGGAAGAAGGUGUUGAUUUAUAUCAGGUGUAUUGGAGCCAACCCGUUUCUGACCCUCAUUCCUCUGGCUUAGAAUUCUCUUCUGCAGCCUUCCUUUCCAUAAGGUGGGUUUUGAGGUUCCAGGACCUUUCUUUUCUAAUGGAAAGCGGGUAUUUUCUUGAGAAUGUUGCAAGAAAAAAGGAAUCUCAGGAAUUUCCUCUUUCCACAGAGGGUAGGCACCAUUCCACGUCAUAAAAUUGCUUCAAAGACUCUUAUCUGAACAAAGUGUGGAAGUGAGAAUAUUUCUGCAAGUUCUGCCCAGAAUUGAAACGUGUUCUGUUUUUCUGUUACUGAAAACUGUCCUUGGGAAUGAGAUACUGACCCAGGCAAUCACAAGGAGAAUCUCAAAAACAUGGAGAAUGGGAGAAACUAGACACAGAAAAGCAUCCUGUACCAUUUUAUUUAUGCGAAACUCUAGAAAAGCCAAAUCAAAUCUAUGAUGACACGAUGUAGAUCAGUAGUUACUUGGGGCCAG